RNAcentral lists this unclassified non-coding RNA (3426 nucleotides) under Pomacea canaliculata. Its description in RNAcentral is "uncharacterized LOC112570342, transcript variant X2". The record is from RNAcentral. Lineage: Eukaryota; Metazoa; Mollusca; Gastropoda; Architaenioglossa; Ampullariidae.
UUCGGGGUGGGGGAAAAGUCUUGUAGAAAGUCGACCAGUCUAAAAUGAUGUCCUCACAGAUUUUCUUUUCGUGGUCAUAUAUUUUUUGGUUGUUUGGUUGUGAAAGCCUGGAAGGAUUUGUCUUGCGUCUUAAUGAUAGUGAGCUUAUAUAGUGCGACACCCCAGACAAAGAAUGACUCAUUGCGCUUAACAAUCACCCCUCGACAUAUUUAUAAAAACCCCUCAUGCCAGACUCCGUCGAAUGCUUUUUUUGUUUUUUGAAGUCGAUGAAGUUGUAAAAGAGAUCCAGCUGGUGUUGUAGACGUUUUUCUAUCAUGAUGCGACAGUUGAAGAUCACCUGUGCUCCUGCCUGCUCUGAAGCCAGCAGUUUUGUCAGCGGUGGUAUCGAGGCAAUUCUGAUUACUUGUAGAAUUUGUUUGGGUUGCUGAUUAGGUUUAUGGUUCUGUAGUUUUGGCGCUGUUUGCUGUUUCCUUUCUUUUUUUUUUUUUUUAGAAGGGGUAUGAUUAUGGCACAGAGCAAUAAAAGCCUUUUUUGCUUUUUUCCCACCCUGCUUGAGCAAUGUAGCUGGGAUUUUACCAAUGCAGGUGACUUUCAUCCCUUCAGACUGCGAACUUACCCACUUCACGAAGAUAUUUGUUUCCUGAUGAUACACAUUUUCUUUUGGGUGGAAUGGCCAUCCAAUUGAUAUAAAUGAUUUGUUAAAGGGAAAUACACCCUUUGUCGAGAAUUGUAAUAUAUGGCUAGGAUGUAUUGCACGCAAGAUCGACUUUCUCAAAAUAGCGGUAAUUAUACAUGUGACAAAAGCACAAGAUGAGAUACGACUGACUGGUGCAGUUAACCGCAAUAUAUACCAAAUGGCAUUCUCAGAAAGCUAGUUUACCUGCCAUGAUGGCCUUGACAAUAGAUGUAUAAGCACUAUCGCCUCUAAGCAGCAUCAUAAUCUGCGCAGUAAGCUGCUGGAAUAAUGUACCCCGAUUUUCUACAUAUGGGACGUGGUGCGCAGUUAUCAGCUCCCGAACACAAAUCAUUUCUGACAUCUGCCCAACACAAUGAGUAGUUAUACAUCUAACCGCAGUCACAAAAGCUUUGACUUAAAUUCACGUACAGACUGUAGAUGUGUCGUUACUGCUAACUGUAACAUGGAACAUGCAAGUCUUUCCCACUUCCCCCUCUAUUGGAUGGGUACUGCCCUUACGGAUGCCUUGUCACGGAGACUGUGGGCAAUGCAAGUGUAUAGAUCGUUUUCUUGCAUACAAUUUCCCUUCCCUUUCGCUCUCUCAUUGAUGUGGGCACUUAGUGUAAGAAAACGAGGAACCAUGCUCAGGCAACAUAACCACACUGUGCAGAUCAACAAUUUUGUUCUCUUUCACACCUCACCACCCCCUACCCCCUGUCCUAACAUAAUAACAUAACUGUUUGCUGCGUAACGUGUGCUGACUUGUACCAAAAAUCGAACCAAACGUGUUUACGGCCGUUGAGCGGCGGAGAAACGAGAUACAAGAGUGGGGCCCUGAGGGGCAGUAACCCAUCGAUCUGAGGAAACAAUCGCACCUUCACAUUAGAGCGCGUCACCGACAGUUGGCUGCCCAUGGCAACAACCAGCUGAUGAAGCCAAUUACUCUUGAAGAAUCAAAACCCAGGAGCCCUGCAUUUCAUGUGGAAUACCGAAAAGAACAGAAGCAGCAAAGAGAAAAAGAACUACAGACUCUGGCACUGAGUGCUUUCGGCUCUCCUGGAACACUUCGACGCUCCUUGUUGCCUCCUGUCUAAAGUGGCUUCUUAACAAGUGCAACUCGCAUUUUGCAGUAAACUUUCAAGUCUACUUGCUGGUCUGAAUGAUACUCAAAUCAAGUCAUGGAAAGGACAGUAAGGUUUCUUCAAGAAUUGCAGUCAAAGAAAAUUGUCUGUUAAACAAGUGAUUUUCACAGAUGCAAGGAUAAAUGCAUUUAAUCUAUGAUUGCUGUUUUCUUUGCGCUUUUUUUGGGUCGAAAAUCUAAAAUUGUAGACAAAUAUUCUGCUAAAGCUGUUUAGCAAAAUAAUCAAGGUAAUGUUGGAAGUUCUUAGAGAUCUUAGCAACAACACAAUAAACAGUAAUAGGCAUUUUGGAUAAGGCAAGAUCAAAACUAGAUUACACAGACUGGUCAUUAGAUGGGUGUGUAAAGAAUGCUGCAUGUGCAAAAUAGUCAUUAUGUGAUCAUGUUUCAAAACUAGAAUGCUCAAAAGCAAGUUGUUGACAAGUACCUAAACAUUAAGAUUUGUAUUAAAGAAACACGAGUCAUCAUACUUUCUUCAGAAAUAUUGUACUUGGUUAUCAUGAAAUAAAUUUUCCUGAUAUGUUGAUAACUGCAUCUAUGCGAACACACACACUUAUAGAUCAUAAAAAUAUAUGUGAAUAAGCCUCAAAUCAUAUUAUAGAAAUAUAUAGCUCGCAUCACAUUCAGAUGUGGUGACAGAACACCCCUGACAUCACUAAAUGAAAUGUAAUGACAUAUGGGCCAUUGCUGUAGUCUUGUAACUGGCUCACUUAGUAGUGGUAAAGCAGAUGUAGAGGGUUCUGCUACAGCAGAAAUAGAAUGUAAAUCAGUCGUCUUUAACAAAUGAAAUCAAGCGAGGAAUGCAUCGUUUAUUGGGUUUUUCUCUUUUGGGUUUAUUGGGUUUUUGAUAUAAAAUAAAAAUGUUUUACAUAUAUUUGUAUUUUCUGUGGACAUUUCAUAUGAAGUAAAGUGUUGAUGCAAAUGUGCUUUUUGUUAACAUUUCUUCAAUAAUUCCAAUAAAAAUUAGGCAUUAGGUCCAAAAAAUCUACUUUAUACAAUGUCAACGUGAAAUGCUGUUACCAUCUCAACUCCAUAUAGACAUGAUGGGACAGACCAUAUCCCAAAGCUAAAUAUUUCUUUCAAAAAUACAGUAAAUAGACAUGUUACAUACUUUUAAAUAUUAAUGUGAGUGAGAAAACAGUAAUUUACAACAGGCUUUGCAGAUAUGACAUAUGAAACAUAUUUUAUUUGAUUGAGGGACAUAUUUGUAGCACUUUCUUCAUGCACAGUAAAGCACCAUUACACACAAUCCAAAACAUUCAUCUUGAAAAAAAAAAUUCAAAAUUAACAGAAUACAAGUUAUUAAAGAUAAUUUUGUUUUUACAAUGAAUGAAACCAUAGUAAUUUUGAAAUUUUGCCUUAAUAUACAUCUUUAUGCUGGCAUACUUUAGAGAUAGUGGUCAUAUUUCAGUAACUUUGUAGUGUCACACUUCCUUUAAAGAACCAGAUUUCAUCACCCAGUUAUUCCUUUAUUUGGGUGAAAAUGGAGGAAUGUGAUAAAUGGAUGGUGAAAUGUAAGCUAAAUACCAAAUAUGGCCAAAAAAAUUCCUACGCACAAAUGCCAAAAAAAAAAAAAAAACUAUGAUAAAACUAUGUACAUUUCAACAAAAAC